GCACUCUCCUCCCUCGGCAUGGCCGCUGCUUAACCAACACAGGCUGCUUUUGGCCAUGACGUCUUAUAGCAAUGCAAACCUCCUAGGAUAGCUUAGGGCCAGUGCUGAGGCCCGGCUUUGACUCAAAGUGCCACCUCAAAGGAGAGGCAUCGAGAUGGGCUUCAGUGCCUGGCACUAAGGGACAGCUUCCGGCACACCACUGCAUCGCACUAGCUCCUGGGGCUGCAUGGUUCUCCUGGGCCAGACACCAGUUUUAAAUCACUCUGCCUGGUUCCCUGGGGUCUCUGUCCCAGUGUGUGGAGGGCUGGGGGGUGGGCAACACCCCACUUACUUCUCAAUGGUGUAAGUAUAGUUUCUUUGCAGCUCCACCGGGUUGAGGAUUCCCAUGGAGCAGGCAGAGAUUUUGCUGUAAUGGAGAGAAGUGGACAGACCUGAAGAGGGACAGGACAACCAGGGAUGGAGCGGUGGCGGCGGCGGCGGCGGCGGCAGCGCCAACUGAGAUGAGCGUGGACUGCAAGGAACAGACACACUUCAUGAAGAACCACUGUCAGACCUGCCAAGCCUGAUCCCAACAGAGUGGCUCUCAGUGUCACAUCUCAUCUUCCCAAACCCAAGCUCUGUCCCUAGAAAACACCUAACUCUCCAUCCCCUCCCCUCAAAAGCACACAGUCUCCACAUGGCAAUUGUCUGUAAGAACUGUAUUCCUUUUCCUGGCUGAGUAAUAUUCAAUCGAAUGGAUGGGCCACGUUUUCUGUAUCCACUGGUCAGUUUUCCCACUCUUGUCCCUUGUGAAUUGUGGCUGCACCCCUGCUGAGCUGCACCUGGCCUGACUCCAGAGAGUAACAACCAGCCCUAACCCGUCUUUUGUUUAACCAAUAUCUUUUGUUUCUCUUAUUGCCCUAUGUGAAUCUUGUCUCAGUCUCCCAUGGAUACAAAGGCCUAUGCAAAACUUGGUUCAGGAAAUUCGGAAAACCAUGGUACUUGAUGAAUCGAGGAAUUUGCACUUGGCCUUGUAUUUUUGGGAGCUCCUUUCAGGCUGUUUUGAGAAUACGGAAAUCAACUUACGAAAGUAUAAAUAUUGAGAAAAAUAAAAAUGCCCUGGGCAAAGGGAAAGUCCUUAGAGGCUGGACUCCCCUGAUGUGGGAUGGUCUGUAUGUCAAGUGUGUUGCUGUUUGGUCAAUAAAUAAAACACUGAUUGGCCAGUGGCCAGGCAGGAAGUAGGUGGGACAAGGAGAGAGGAGAAUUCUGGGAAGUGGAAGGCUGAGUGAAGGAGACACCGCCAGCCACCACCAUGACAAGCCGCAUGUGAAGAUGCCGAACCUGUGCAGUGCGGUGGGAGCAGCGUCCCUGCGACAGCACACGAGCAAACGUCAGGCAGCAGACGUCUGUACGCACCAGCGGCUUCAGGUCCACACACGCGAUUGUCUUGUCGGCUAUGUCCACGGUUAUGGAGGAGAUGGCAUUCCGCUUGAUGCUGCAAGGCAACAGGGCUAUAAGGCCUGCAUUAGAGUGA
Molecule: long non-coding RNA, 1513 nt
Organism: Peromyscus californicus insignis
Lineage: Eukaryota; Metazoa; Chordata; Mammalia; Rodentia; Cricetidae
Exons: 3
Source: RefSeq, a predicted model, not a curated record